Molecule: small nucleolar RNA, 110 nt
Organism: Carya illinoinensis
Lineage: Eukaryota; Viridiplantae; Streptophyta; Magnoliopsida; Fagales; Juglandaceae
Source: RefSeq, a predicted model, not a curated record
AUACCCUUGAUGGGGACACAAGCUAAGUAACUCUUUAAAAUGUUCUCAUGUUUGAUACAAAGUCUCACUAUCCUUUUGUGUAAAAAUUUAUAUUUGCCUUUUCAAAGUAU